RNAcentral lists this ribosomal RNA (503 nucleotides) under uncultured Sphingobacteriales bacterium. RNAcentral describes it as "bacterial SSU rRNA". It matches the Rfam family "Bacterial small subunit ribosomal RNA", at positions 903 to 1382 of the family's 1533-position model. Lineage: Bacteria; Pseudomonadati; Bacteroidota; Sphingobacteriia; Sphingobacteriales. The record is from RNAcentral.
CGCCUUGCCAGCCCGCUCAGAAACUUAAAGGAAUUGACGGGGCCCGCACAAGCGGUGGAGCAUGUGGUUUAAUUCGAUGAUACGCGAGGAACCUUACCUGGGCUCGAACGUAAGAUGACUGUAGGUGAAAGCUUACAUCUCUUCGGAGCAUUUUACGAGGUGCUGCAUGGUUGUCGUCAGCUCGUGCCGUGAGGUGUCGGGUUAAGUCCCAUAACGAGCGCAACCCCUACCUUAGUUGCCAUCAGGUUAAGCUAGGGACUCUAAAGGAACUGCCUACGCAAGUAGUGAGGAAGGCGGGGAUGACGUCAAAUCAGCACGGCCCUUACGUCCAGGGCUACACACGUGCUACAAUGGCCGAUACAGAGGGCAGCUACCUGGUGACAGGAUGCAAAUCUCCAAAGUCGGUCUCAGUUCGGAUCGGAGUCUGCAACCCGACUCCGUGAAGUUGGAUUCGCUAGUAAUCGCGCAUCAGCCAUGGCGCGGUGAAUACGUUCCCGGGCCUU